GUGGGGAAUAUUGGUCAAUGGGCGCAAGCCUGAACCAGCCAUGCCGCGUGCAGGAAGACGGUCCUAUGGAUUGUAAACUGCUUUUAUUUGGGAAUAAACUCCGGUACGUGUACCGGCCUGAAGGUACCAAAUGAAUAAGCACCGGCUAACUCCGUGCCAGCAGCCGCGGUAAUACGGAGGGUGCAAGCGUUAUCCGGAAUCAUUGGGUUUAAAGGGUCCGCAGGCGGUCUUAUAAGUCAGUGGUGAAAGCCUACAGCUCAACUGUAGAACUGCCAUUGAUACUGUAGGACUUGAAUUCGAUCGAAGUGGGCGGAAUGUGACAUGUAGCGGUGAAAUGCUUAGAUAUGUCACAGAACACCGAUAGCGAAGGCAGCUCACUAGGUCUGGAUUGACGCUCAGGGACGAAAGCGUGGGGAGCAAACAGGAUUAGAUACCCCUGUAGUCC
Molecule: ribosomal RNA, 445 nt
Filed under: uncultured bacterium
Lineage: Bacteria
Description: bacterial SSU rRNA
Rfam family: Bacterial small subunit ribosomal RNA
Source: RNAcentral